AAUUAUUUUAUUGUAAUUUUUUUUUAAAGAUAAGAAACUUGAAAUUAAGUUUUAUAGUGGUGAAAAAUUCAAUACUAUUGAAUCAAAAUUGAAUUUGUGGCGAUUUUUGGAGUAGAGAGAGAUUGCUGCCAUGAACGGAAUACAAUUGAGGUUAGGGAUUUCUAUCUCUUCUAUCAUUUACAUUUUGGAUUUUCUGUUAUAUUUUAAAAUUUUGUGUUAAAAAUCUUCUCCUUAACUAU
This 239-nucleotide long non-coding RNA is filed under the name Physcomitrium patens. RNAcentral describes it as "long non-coding RNA (PPAT_LNC003436)". The record is from RNAcentral. Lineage: Eukaryota; Viridiplantae; Streptophyta; Bryopsida; Funariales; Funariaceae.